Molecule: non-coding RNA, 25 nt
Filed under: Mus musculus (house mouse)
Lineage: Eukaryota; Metazoa; Chordata; Mammalia; Rodentia; Muridae
Source: RNAcentral
UGAGAUCCUGGGUGAGGAGCCAAGG